This 328-nucleotide ribosomal RNA is filed under the name uncultured eukaryote. Its description in RNAcentral is "partial 18S ribosomal RNA". It matches the Rfam family "Eukaryotic small subunit ribosomal RNA", at positions 1470 to 1796 of the family's 1831-position model. The record is from RNAcentral.
CCCUUAGAUGUUCUGGGCCGCACGCGCGCUACACUGAUGAAUUCAACGAGUUUAUAACCUUGGUUGAGAAGCCUGGGUAAUCUUUUGAACGUUCAUCGUGAUGGGGAUAGAUUAUUGCAAUUAUUAAUCUUCAACGAGGAAUUCCUAGUAAACGCAAGUCAUCAGCUUGCAUUGAUUACGUCCCUGCCCUUUGUACACACCGCCCGUCGCACCUACCGAUUGAAUGGUCCGGUGAAAUCUUGGGAUUUUGUUUUGUUUGCAUUUAUUUGUAUCGAGACGAGAGAACUUGAGUAAACCUUACCAUUUAGAGGAAGGUGAAGUCGUAACA